ACGGGAGGCAGCAGUGGGGAAUCUUGCACAGUGGGGGAAACCCUGAUGCAGCGACGCCGCGUGAGUGAAGAAGUAUUUCGGUAUGUAAAGCUCUAUCAGCAGGGAAGAAAAUGACGGUACCUGACUAGGAAGCCCCGGCUAACUACGUGCCAGCAGCCGCGGUAAUACGUAGGGGGCAAGCGUUAUCCGGAUUUACUGGGUGUAAAGGGAGCGUAGACGGCGAUGCAAGUCUGAUGUGAAAGCCCGGGGCUCAACCCCGGCACUGAAUUGGAAACUGUGUUGCUAGAGUGCAGGAGAGGUAAGUGGAAUUCCUAGUGUAGCGGUGAAAUGCGUAGAUAUUAGGAGGAACACCAGAGGCGAAGGCGGCUUACUGGACUGUAACUGACGUUGAGGCUCGAAAGCGUGGGGAGCAAACAGGAUUAGAUACCCUGGUA
This 434-nucleotide ribosomal RNA is filed under the name uncultured Lachnospiraceae bacterium. Its description in RNAcentral is "partial 16S ribosomal RNA". It matches the Rfam family "Bacterial small subunit ribosomal RNA", at positions 341 to 792 of the family's 1533-position model. The record is from RNAcentral. Lineage: Bacteria; Bacillati; Bacillota; Clostridia; Lachnospirales; Lachnospiraceae.